Molecule: ribosomal RNA, 30 nt
Filed under: Megaspora rimisorediata
Lineage: Eukaryota; Fungi; Ascomycota; Lecanoromycetes; Pertusariales; Megasporaceae
Description: partial 28S large subunit ribosomal RNA
Source: RNAcentral
GAUCAGGUAGGGAUACCCGCUGAACUUAAG